GUGACAUUCGUGUGCCUGACUUAUAUUCCAAUCUAAGCAAUAGCUGAGAUUUCGAGAAGCUUCUCUUCCAAGCUUUCUUUUUCAGCAACUUUUUCCUGUUUCGCUUGGUCUUAAAAUGGGUAUGAGUAUCUGCUUCUGCUUCUGCUUCUCUCUCCAUGGGAAGAGUCUCUGAAACUUUUACUCUUCAUGAUGAUUCGGAAGAAAGUGGAAAAUGGGAA
This 218-nucleotide long non-coding RNA is filed under the name Prunus dulcis (almond). RNAcentral's name for it is "sRNA ncRNA". Lineage: Eukaryota; Viridiplantae; Streptophyta; Magnoliopsida; Rosales; Rosaceae. The record is from RNAcentral.